GACGAACGCUGGCGGCGUGCUUAACACAUGCAAGUCGAACGGAAAGGCCCCUUUGGGGGUACUCGAGUGGCGAACGGGUGAGUAACACGUGAGUAACCUGCCCUUGACUUCGGGAUAACUUCAGGAAACUGGGGCUAAUACCGGAUAGGAAUCCUUGCUGCAUGGUGGGGGUUGGAAAGCUUCGGCGGUUUUGGAUGGACUCGCGGCUUAUCAGCUUGUUGGUGGGGUAGUGGCUUACCAAGGCGUUGACGGGUAGCCGGCCUGAGAGGGCGACCGGCCACCUUGGGACCGAGAGACGGCCGCGGCUCCUACGGGAGGCAGAAGGGGGGAAGACUGCACGAUGGGCGGCAGCCUGAUGCAGCAACGCCGCGUGCGGGAUGACGGUCUUCGGGUUGUAAACCGAUUUCAGCAGGGGCGAAGCUUGUGGUGACGGUACCUGCAGAAGAAGCACCGGCUAACUACGUG
Molecule: ribosomal RNA, 465 nt
Filed under: uncultured bacterium
Lineage: Bacteria
Description: partial 16S ribosomal RNA
Rfam family: Bacterial small subunit ribosomal RNA
Source: RNAcentral